ACUUUUGUUUUCGGAUUCUCGUUUAUGUAAUCCCAAAAGAGAAAGUACGGUAAUUUAAUUGGCUGAAGAAAAUCGGGAAAAAAAGCGUAUUGGCAGGAAAACGUUGCAUUGGCGGGGAAUCGAACCCCGGUCUCCCGCGUGGCAGGCGAGAAUUCUACCACUGAACCACCAAUGCUUGGUAAAAUGAAAAGAUUUAACCAUUUUAUCACAUAACAAGAAUUGGGGACAGUGUUAACAGUAACAAAAUUUUCACUCGAGUUUAGAUUUGCGCUUUUUUUAUUCGAUUUAGCGUGCAUCAAUUUUGGCGCACAUCUUUUUGGAGGUAAUUAUAAAGAAAAAAAUAAUGUCCAUAAAGAGAUUUUAUGCCUGUUGGACACAUGUUGGCUCAAAGAUUUGCGCGAACCAACACGGUUUAUGGGUGCUAUUAUCAAAGUAAUUUACGUGGAAAAAUUUACAUUACAUUACUUUA
This is a long non-coding RNA of Hydractinia symbiolongicarpus, 469 nucleotides long. RefSeq lists it as uncharacterized. Lineage: Eukaryota; Metazoa; Cnidaria; Hydrozoa; Anthoathecata; Hydractiniidae. The transcript has 2 exons. The record is from RefSeq and is a predicted model, not a curated record.